RNAcentral lists this ribosomal RNA (388 nucleotides) under uncultured bacterium. RNAcentral describes it as "bacterial SSU rRNA". It matches the Rfam family "Bacterial small subunit ribosomal RNA", at positions 29 to 416 of the family's 1533-position model. The record is from RNAcentral.
AUUAAACGCUGGCGGCAUGCCUUACACAUGCAAGUCGAACGGCAGCACGGGGGCAACCCUGGUGGCGAGUGGCGAACGGGUGAGUAAAGCAUCGGAACGUGCCCUGGAGUGGGGGAUAACGUAGCGAAAGUUACGCUAAUACCGCAUAUUCUGUGAGCAGGAAAGCAGGGGAUCGCAAGACCUUGCGCUCUGGGAGCGGCCGAUGUCGGAUUAGCUAGUUGGUGGUGUAAAAGGCCUACCAAGGCGACGAUCCGUAGCGGGUCUGAGAGGAUGAUCCGCCACACUGGGACUGAGACACGGCCUAGACUCCUACGGGAGGCAGCGGUGGGGAAUUUUGGACAAUGGGGCGAAAGCCUGAUCCAGCCAUGCCGCGUGAGUGAAGAAGGCC